RNAcentral lists this ribosomal RNA (235 nucleotides) under uncultured bacterium. Its description in RNAcentral is "partial small subunit ribosomal RNA". It matches the Rfam family "Bacterial small subunit ribosomal RNA", at positions 26 to 288 of the family's 1533-position model. The record is from RNAcentral.
AGAACGAACGCUGGCGGCAGGCUUAACACAUGCAAGUCGAACGCACCUUUCGGGGUGAGUGGCAGACGGGUGAGUAACGCGUGGGAACAUACCCUUCGGUACGGAACAACUUGGGGAAACUUGAGCUAAUACCGUAUACGGCCUAUGGGCGAAAGAUUGUAUCGCCGAAGGAUUGGCCCGCGUUCGAUUAGCUUGUUGGUGAGGUAACGGCUCACCAAGGCGACGAUCGAUAGCU